Molecule: transfer RNA, 62 nt
Filed under: Pseudoniphargus ruffoi
Lineage: Eukaryota; Metazoa; Arthropoda; Malacostraca; Amphipoda; Allocrangonyctidae
Description: tRNA-Met
Source: RNAcentral
UAAAAGAUAAGCUAAAUUAAGCUAAUGGGCUCAUAACCCAUCUAUGAAUUUUUCUCUUUUGU